GGGACCUGCCAACUAGCAGGGCUGAAAGAGGUGUAACAUAAACAGGGCUGAAACGCACCCCUUGCUUACCAAAUUGCAGGCAAGAAGAAGAGAAGAGAGAAGGAGACAAGAGCUGUGGCCCUUCAGGGAGCCCAGACCUAGGAGCUCCCCAAGCCAGGGCUGUGAUGCCUUCUUUGGGGCUCUGCAGUUCCUGCAUCUCCAAGUUUCCAGGCACCACUGCAUUCCCUGAUACACACAGUGGAAGCUGUUUGCAGUCGGUCUGGUCCAGCUGCAGCCUCACAGGGAGCUGGCACCUGUGCCGGUACCUGGAGCUGCCCACCCCACUGCAGCUGGCAUGCUUGGCUGUGUGCAGUGGUCAGAUCCCAUGCUUGCUUGCUCACACACCAUUCACUGCUCUGUACCCAGCUCAUCCUUGGCAGGUGUGGGAUCCACACCACUAGCAUGAGCCGAGUGGACAGAACGAACCCAGUGGGCCCGAGCAAAACACAGAAGAUUUUCAGAAAAUAUUAAAAAAUAAUGGGAGGAGAAGCCAAGAUGGCCGAAUAGGAACAGCUCGAGUCUACCGCUCCCAGCAUGAGCGACGCAGAAGACGGGUGAUUUCUGCAUUUCCUUUUGAGACACCCAUAAACUCAGAAAAUACAGUGUAAAACAAAGUGAAGAACAAGUAAACAACUCACCAGAUAUUUAUUCGUUUCUUGUUGCUCUUGGAAACACCCAGAGGACACUGGAAACAUAGCUGGGAUAGAAGGCAAAUGACGUGGAUUAAGGAGAGAACUGGUGUGGUGUGGUCCCAGAUUCUUCUGCCCAAUGCUCUAGACACAUUACCUGGGAAAGCCCUCCUCCCUCCUGAAAAAGAAAAACUUCCCCGUGGGAGAAGAGUCCUUCACGCCUCAUUAGGGGCAGCAGAGGCUCAAGUUAAGAUAAGAUACAUAGACAAGUACAUUAAUUGGUAGACAUUAGAUGCACAAUUUAUUUUUGAAUAAAAAUAUGUAUUACCUACUAAUUUAGUAACAAUAUUAUCUAAAGAUAUAAUCUAAUAAUUUAAUACAAAGAAACAUUAUAAGUUCACUAAAAUAAAUGUUAUAGAAAUAUACUGGGCUGUAUUAACUAUUUUCCUAUUAAUAUGUAGAUUCCACAAAUAACUUCAUAUGAGUGUUCCCAUGACAGUACCUCUUGCUUUUCUAUACCUGAACAUCGUGGAAAGUGCAUCUUGCAAACCAGCAAUUUUGGCCUACAAUUACGUUUUUUAAAAUGUACAUAAUAUGUAUUUCCUGCAGUACACCAUUCUACUCAUGUUUCCCAAUAACACCUUUCCUUCUAUCCAAGCCCUCAUAUUAUGCUCUGACAAUAAAUUGGGCUUUUCCAUCUGACUUGUCCAGUGAAUGGACAAUGGAAAAUGUGAUGCAAAUAUCCAUUGGUUCUUCCCUUUUUGGGAGAAAUUUUGAAGAGGUCUGGAGCUACCCUGUUGGAGACACAGGGCCUAGCCAAGAGUCACCACAAACCACCAGAUUGUGAAGGAAACUAUCUUAAACCAACCAGGCUCAGUCAACGCACCAGGUGACUAAGGCCUUUUUGUAAUCCAGGCAACACAAAUAUAUCAACUACCCAGCUGAAUCCACCACACCAAAGUGCAGAUCCACAGAACUUCAUACAAAUAAAAUGGUGAUUGUUUUUUAUAAGCCAGUAAGGUUUAAUUAGUUCCUUAAACAGCAAGUAUUAACUGUUACACCUAAGUGAACAGAAUUCACUUCUGUGUUUUUAACAAAAUUAUGUAGGGGGAGAAAAUCUUAAAUUACAAAUCAAAUACAAUCAAUAGAACUUCGCAAUCUAAUGCUAAAUUUGGGGAUGGACUAGGUUUAAUAUAUCUCAGACGCGAAAAAACGAGCUAAGAUUGAAGGAAUGGGACUGUGUUUGGAGAGUAUUUUAAUCCUCUCAAGUAUGACAGGUCACUGCUGUACCCCAGACCACACUUUCAGGCCCCUUCAAAUAAGGAAUAUUUCCUAAGUCCUUGCCUGUUCUUCUCAGCUGAAUUCACCUCAACCUUCUGAAAGUU
This 2053-nucleotide long non-coding RNA is filed under the name Homo sapiens (human). Its description in RNAcentral is "HSALNT0270718". The record is from RNAcentral. Lineage: Eukaryota; Metazoa; Chordata; Mammalia; Primates; Hominidae.